This 400-nucleotide ribosomal RNA is filed under the name uncultured Escherichia sp. RNAcentral describes it as "bacterial SSU rRNA". It matches the Rfam family "Bacterial small subunit ribosomal RNA", at positions 975 to 1375 of the family's 1533-position model. The record is from RNAcentral. Lineage: Bacteria; Pseudomonadati; Pseudomonadota; Gammaproteobacteria; Enterobacterales; Enterobacteriaceae.
CUGGUCUUGACAUCCACAGAACUUUCCAGAGAUGGAUUGGUGCCUUCGGGAACUGUGAGACAGGUGCUGCAUGGCUGUCGUCAGCUCGUGUUGUGAAAUGUUGGGUUAAGUCCCGCAACGAGCGCAACCCUUAUCCUUUGUUGCCAGCGGUCCGGCCGGGAACUCAAAGGAGACUGCCAGUGAUAAACUGGAGGAAGGUGGGGAUGACGUCAAGUCAUCAUGGCCCUUACGACCAGGGCUACACACGUGCUACAAUGGCGCAUACAAAGAGAAGCGACCUCGCGAGAGCAAGCGGACCUCAUAAAGUGCGUCGUAGUCCGGAUUGGAGUCUGCAACUCGACUCCAUGAAGUCGGAAUCGCUAGUAAUCGUGGAUCAGAAUGCCACGGUGAAUACGUUCCC